Molecule: ribosomal RNA, 1285 nt
Filed under: Salmonella enterica
Lineage: Bacteria; Pseudomonadati; Pseudomonadota; Gammaproteobacteria; Enterobacterales; Enterobacteriaceae
Also listed under: 1 other name
Description: partial 23S ribosomal RNA
Rfam family: Bacterial large subunit ribosomal RNA
Source: RNAcentral
AGACCCGAAACCCGGUGAUCUAGCCAUGGGCAGGUUGAAGGUUGGGUAACACUAACUGGAGGACCGAACCGACUAAUGUUGAAAAAUUAGCGGAUGACCUGUGGCUGGGGGUGAAAGGCCAAUCAAACCGGGAGAUAGCUGGUUCUCCCCGAAAGCUAUUUAGGUAGCGCCUCGUGAAUUCAUCUCCGGGGGUAGAGCACUGUUUCGGCUAGGGGGCCAUCCCGGCUUACCAACCCGAUGCAAACUGCGAAUACCGGAGAAUGUUAUCACGGGAGACACACGGCGGGUGCUAACGUCCGUCGUGAAGAGGGAAACAACCCAGACCGCCAGCUAAGGUCCCAAAGUCAUGGUUAAGUGGGAAACGAUGUGGGAAGGCCCAGACAGCCAGGAUGUUGGCUUAGAAGCAGCCAUCAUUUAAAGAAAGCGUAAUAGCUCACUGGUCGAGUCGGCCUGCGCGGAAGAUGUAACGGGGCUAAACCAUGCACCGAAGCUGCGGCAGCGAACGUAUCACCCAAGACAACUUUACGGAGUUGACGAUUGACGGAGCGAAGCGACGUCAAAGCGUUCAUUAAAGUCGAGUUGGCUUAGGGAUACGUUCGUUGGGUAGGGGAGCGUUCUGUAAGCCUGUGAAGGUGUGUCGUGAGGCAUGCUGGAGGUAUCAGAAGUGCGAAUGCUGACAUAAGUAACGAUAAAGCGGGUGAAAAGCCCGCUCGCCGGAAGACCAAGGGUUCCUGUCCAACGUUAAUCGGGGCAGGGUGAGUCGACCCCUAAGGCGAGGCCGAAAGGCGUAGUCGAUGGGAAACGGGUUAAUAUUCCCGUACUUGGUGUUACUGCGAAGGGGGGACGGAGAAGGCUAUGUUGGCCGGGCGACGGUUGUCCCGGUUUAAGCGUGUAGGUGUGUGUUCCAGGUAAAUCCGGUUCACUUUAACACUGAGGCGUGACGACGAGGCACUACGGUGCUGAAGCAACAAAUGCCCUGCUUCCAGGAAAAGCCUCUAAGCAUCAGGUAACACGAAAUCGUACCCCAAACCGACACAGGUGGUCAGGUAGAGAAUACCAAGGCGCUUGAGAGAACUCGGGUGAAGGAACUAGGCAAAAUGGUGCCGUAACUUCGGGAGAAGGCACGCUGACACGUAGGUGAAGUGAUUUACUCAUGGAGCUGAAGUCAGUCGAAGAUACCAGCUGGCUGCAACUGUUUAUUAAAAACACAGCACUGUGCAAACACGAAAGUGGACGUAUACGGUGUGACGCCUGCCCGGUGCCGGAAGGUUAAUUGAUGGGGUCA